AUUAUAAUAUCGUGCGUGCAUAGCAACAGCCACCUACUGAUUUGUGUAUUCUACACUUUUGUAUCAGUAUUGUUACUAAUGUUUAGAUUUAAAUGAUCAGAAAUUCUCAAUAUUGUAGUUCAAAUUUUAUUUAAUAUCCAUUGAAUAGAUAUUGAAACUCUGCAAGUCGAUACCAGAAUCAAAUGCAUGAUACACAGAACCAGCACAAAACUCAUCAGGAGUCACAAACAUUUGAAAUUCAUUUGUAUACAUAUCUUGACAAGAGUUUUGGUCGAUGUAUGGUAAAUAAGUUUCCAAUAGAACGGGACUUAAUAUACCCUUUUCCGUAUUUCCCCAACCAACAAUCUGUAAAAAUUUUGGUACUGAGUUGAAUCAAUAAAAUUAAGUGUGAGCUAAAAAGAUAUUUUAAUUUUAAAGCUUGAUCUUGAGGAUUUCGUCGUAUAAAAUAUCAACAUUUACAAAUCAUUUAUCACAACGUUUCACGUUUUAUUUUAUUUAUUUUUACUUUUAUUCAAAUCUGAAAUGUUCAAUAUUGGUAUAAGUAUAAACUAACUAAAAUAAAAUCAAGAUUUUAAAAAUUAAUAAAUUUUUGUUAAGAUUCCUUUAACAGCAAUCACGUCGGCUGAAAUUUGACCUACAGAACUUAACAAUCGAGGUUUUAUGUGUGUGAAGUUAGCACCAUAUAACUUUGUUUAUAUUACAAAGAAAAAACAAAUCAUAAAGCCCAAUUAAUCAAUAAUCAAUCAUCAGUUUUUAAAAAUUGUAAAUUUUUAAGAGUUUAGUUAUAAUUAAAUAAAAAUGAAGCUAAACUAAACUAAUGAAGUCGGCAACUUUACAUAUACCUCACAACUUAGGAAUACAAAUCUCAUGUUUUAAAUAUUACUAUAGA
Long non-coding RNA from Aphis gossypii (cotton aphid), 889 nucleotides. RefSeq lists it as uncharacterized. The transcript is spliced from 3 exons. The record is from RefSeq and is a predicted model, not a curated record. NCBI's taxonomy places the organism in Eukaryota, Metazoa, Arthropoda, Insecta, Hemiptera, Aphididae.